Molecule: long non-coding RNA, 2619 nt
Organism: Gopherus flavomarginatus (Mexican gopher tortoise)
Lineage: Eukaryota; Metazoa; Chordata; Testudines; Testudinidae
Exons: 3
Source: RefSeq, a predicted model, not a curated record
UCUCAGACCUCCUCUUGGCGACCCGUUCACACGGGAACCCUUUGAGUGCGACCCCCCUUAUCAAUUAAAAUGGGGGGGGUAAUUUAACAGGGCUCAGGCUCUCAGCCCCUCACAGGGCAGCCAGCUCGUGACACCCACCCAGAAACCUUGCCAUCCCCUGAGGGGUCGCGACGCCCAGGUUGAGAACCGCUGAUUUCGUGUCUGUCGUGCACCCUGCAUCCCAAAUGAGCAACUUCAAUUCCCACCGGCUUCCCUGGGGGCCACAGGUGCCCAGCAGAGCGCUGCAUCUACCCCCGAAAGUGUAAACAGCAACGGAGGGCGAGCGUUGCAGCAGGGUGGCUUGGUCCCAGAUCUGGGCGUUUCUGGGAUCAUCCUGAUUUCGGAGGGGUCCAAAUGUCUCAGGCCUGGCUCAUGGGAUCUUAAAAUAACUGGGAGCCCAGGUCAUGUUGUCCGGUUUAGUCAGAUGCAUGUGUUUGCCCUGCCAGAGAAACUCACAUUUGUGGGAACCUAAGGCAAGGGCGAGGAGAGAGGUUUUCACCUGAGAUUUGAAAUGAGAUGGAGCAGCGAUGAGGGGGUGAGCUAGAGAGAAGUCACUCCACGUGAUAGAAGCCGUACAGGUGGACUCAUGGAUGGGUGCAGCUAACAGAGGCUUCCAAGACAUGCAUUCUGCAUAGCAUGAGUGAGGAUCUCGCUUAGACUUACAACUGGUGAUUAGUACACAGGGCUGAGGGAUUCCUACCAGUGCUGUAGGCUGGAGACAGUGGGCUCUCGGAGAUGGGAGACAUUGGAGAAUGGAGAUCUUGGAUUUGGUCCACGCUGACUGCACAGUUCCGGAUGAUGUCUCGGUGAUGCGAUACUCAGCAGUUGUGUCUGAAAAUGCAAAUCAGUUGCAGGAGUAAUGCAUGUUUCCAUCAAACCCCGCAGAACUUCCUUUAGUCUCUCCAUCCAGGGAGUGGUUUGUUUGAUAUGAUCCAUGAGAGUAACCCUAAUUUCCUCAUGAACUCAAGAAUUGCCUGACAGUCCCUUGCUGGGACUCUCUGCACAGGGAUGCUGUCAACUCCAUCACUUCUUUUUCUUUGUAGCACCUGCUACAGAUGUGGGGCCGGAGGACGCGAUCCAUGGUAGAACGGCUAAGCCCAAGGACCAGGAAAAGCAAGAGAGACCAAUACUUGGGACACAUAGGGGGAUGUGAGAAAGGUCUUGGAGUGAAUGAUGGAAGGAGGUAAAAAUGACGCCCGCUUUAAGAGACUGGACAGGUUCAAGCAGAAGUGGAAUGAGAGGGGAAGGAGACCUGAGACCAGGCAAUUCUAAUGAGAGCUUUUCAAGGACUUGGGCAUCACAUUGAACCUAAUAACUGGGCCCUGCACCUGCCAGAUACAGGUUAAUAGUGCUCUUUGGAGCACCUCCUACUCUCCAGCUCCUUCAUAGCCCUUACUCCAGGUAUUGCACCCCUCUGCCACAGUCACCUAAGAGGACUAGAAUCCCCAGUUAGAUGGGCAAGAUGCACCUGUAAAAUAUUGUUACCACUGUUUCUGUAACUACGUUACUCUUGUUUGCCAUUGAAGCCGGCCUGAAUUUUUGUUUGUGUAUAAUAAAGUAGAAUCUGGGAGAAUGAUUGUGCUCAUUACACAGGCUAUCAUACUGGCCUUUAAUACCAAAACCAACAACAGUUCACUCCUCCAUUCCAUCUAGGAAUGAAGCCACACAUCCUGAAGGAGUGCCCACUGGUACAGAACGCACCAGUCCAUCUGUUUAGCAACACAGGUCACUGAACACCUCACUCAAGUACACCACUCCCUGCACUGGCUCCCCAUGGAGGUCAGACUCCAGUUCAAGGUCUCUGCCUUGAUGUUCAAAGCCCUCUUUUGGAAUUGCUCAUGGCUACAUGACCUCUCAUGGCAGCUGUGUUCCACUGGAACAAUGAAACAUGAGUGUGGGAUGGGGGGAGGCUCUGUAAUGUUAGGGGGCUGUACUGUGGAAUAGCAGUUCGUGCAACUGCAGAUAGUCGUGUGGAUGUGGGGCAAAGCUGAAGCCAAGUCAGCAUGGCUAUGGUGGACAUGUUGCAGUGUUGGUACUUAGAUGGACACUAUGCUACUGGUUCAGUCUCUAGUGUAGACACAGCCAGGGCGUGUGUCUGCACAUCCAUCUAUCUAGAUAUUAGUUAUUCUCACUCCAAGGCUGCAGCUGCAUCCCUUUGCUGAGCUGCCAUUGGUCAGAAAUGAUGUCAUUGCCUCCAGUGCUGGAUGGCAGUGCAUUGCUAUUGGUGGAGGGGCAGAGAUGCUGUUGUCAGCUGGAAAGGCUCUAGUCAUUCAUGUGGAGUUCAGUGCGUAUUCACUCUGUGGGCUUGGACACAGAUGGAGAUAAAGAUCUGGCAGAGCCAGGUGAGCACUUGGGGCUCACUUUUAACCCUGCAUAGCUGGGACAUAAUGCCAUAUCCCCUGCAGCAUCCUAGCAAGAGAGACUGUAGCUGGUUUAACUCUUGCAGUGCAGGUCAGAGUGCCUAAAGCACUUUUCUUUAACCCAUGCACUGAUGAGCCAGAGCUGUAUGUCCUGUGGAUGUUCCCUCCAGAUUCCUCAGCAAGGCUCUGCAACAAUCAAAAGAGCUGUCCCCAGAAAAUC